Molecule: ribosomal RNA, 375 nt
Filed under: Triticum aestivum (bread wheat)
Lineage: Eukaryota; Viridiplantae; Streptophyta; Magnoliopsida; Poales; Poaceae
Description: partial small subunit ribosomal RNA
Source: RNAcentral
AUGCCACCAACUAACCUAUUCAUGUCAAGAUUAAUGCUAUCAGGCACCAAUCCAACACUCCCGGCUGGCUAUAUAAAGCAAAGCCGAGGAGGCAACGGGAGCACCAGAAAAACCCACCAGCCACCACGGCAAGAACAAGGAGGUAGACCAAGGAGGAGACGCGCCCGUGGCGGCGGAGAAGACGACGCGCCUAGCGGAGGAAACCAGAGGAGCGUGAUGGCGCCCUCGCACACACGCCCAUGGAGGACGAGGAUGCAUGUUAAGCUCGGUGGAUACACCGGCGACGACGACGAUGGAGAUCUUCAGGACAUCCAUAUAUAUAUAUGCAUCGUUAUUAUGCAUGGUGGGUUUAUGGUUCGCAUAUGUUUUCUCUGA